Long non-coding RNA from Oxyura jamaicensis (ruddy duck), 210 nucleotides. RefSeq lists it as uncharacterized. NCBI's taxonomy places the organism in Eukaryota, Metazoa, Chordata, Aves, Anseriformes, Anatidae. The record is from RefSeq and is a predicted model, not a curated record. The transcript is spliced from 3 exons.
CCUCCUGGCAGAGAGAGAAUUAAAAAAAUCGCAGUUAGUCACAUGCCCCUGGCAUCGUUUGGUGAAUUGAGAAGUCAGGGUCUUGCAGAACGGCUCCAGUCCAAAGAACAAAGUCAAAGGGCUCAUACUUCUGCUCCCUGAGCACAGGUGUCCUCUCCCAGGUCCAAUCCCACCCAAGCCUGCAGCAUAACAACUUCUGGAAGGGUUUUC